UCCGGCCUACGGGGCGCAGCAGUGAGGAAUAUUGGUCAAUGGCCGGAAGGCUGAACCAGCCACGCCGCGUGAAGGACGAAGGUGCCAAGCAUUGUAAACUUCUUUUGUCAAGGGACAAAAUCAGGCUCGAGAGCCUGACCGAGGGUACUUGAAGAAAAAGCAUCGGCUAACUCCGUGCCAGCAGCCGCGGUAAUACGGAGGAUGCGAGCGUUAUCCGGAUUUAUUGGGUUUAAAGGGUGCGUAGGCGGACUGUUAAGUCAGCGGGAAAAGCCCGGGGCUCAACCCCGGCGAGACGUGGAAACUGG
Molecule: ribosomal RNA, 305 nt
Filed under: uncultured bacterium
Lineage: Bacteria
Description: bacterial SSU rRNA
Rfam family: Bacterial small subunit ribosomal RNA
Source: RNAcentral